RNAcentral lists this long non-coding RNA (1312 nucleotides) under Brachypodium distachyon (stiff brome). RNAcentral describes it as "long non-coding RNA (BDIS_LNC005197)". The record is from RNAcentral. Lineage: Eukaryota; Viridiplantae; Streptophyta; Magnoliopsida; Poales; Poaceae.
GGCAGAAGAAAAGAUAUGUAGCUAUGCCUCAGGAUACAACAAAUAUGCAAAAUGAAUUAAUAUUAGAUACGUUAAUAUUCAAAUUAUUUCGGCUAAUAUUAGGUUAUAUGGUAAAUUAAAUAUUUUAAUAUUAUGAUUAUCUUUUUGCAGGAUCUUUUAAGGCUGGUGAGGCCAACGGAACUACCGACGGUUUUCGCAGUGAUGUAAUAAUCCUACUCAGUACUCACCGUAUUUAUUACUAUAUUGCUUCAGGAGUAGCUGAGUUUAUUUCCCUAAGCGUCUUUAGUCAGGUUUAUAUGGGUGAUUUCUUAUCGUCUUCCCAGGCAGUUCCACCCGAAGGGAACACUUCUCUACGGUUACAAGGUUCUCAUUUCAACGCCAUACACACGGCUUAACAGAGAACUACACGCAGAGGUUUCUCCUAUAGGAUCCCUAGCAUAAGAACCCACCCGUAUAAACAUGCUAAAAAGACCGAGGGAAAAACUAAACUACUUCAUUUCACAAUAUAGCUUACAUACGGUUUUCCCUUUCGGGAACCCCCGAAGGGUUCACACAAAGAUAAAGAAAUUACCUUACUACCUUUCCAGUCUUAUGUUACAAAUGCCUUGAUUACACAGGCUUUAUUACAGUGGGAAGUGGUACUACUACUACUAGAGAGCGGAUAGUUUCUGGCUAACUGCCCUGAACUACUUGCUGCUCUGAAGGCUUGUGUUGUGCUCGAUGGUUGUGUGUCCUCCAAUGCUGCAAAGAGCCUCCUUAUAUAGGCACCAUGGCUGGCUCAAAUAGUGCUCCCAUGCAUUAUUUACCUCACCUUUCUCCAUGUCCAUGAUACACCUCCUUUAUAGGUCUUUGUAGGUCUUAGGCUUCUUUUAUAGCCUUUGGAUGCAUGCAUGCAUGGUGAUAAGGGGUCUUUUGGCUGCCACUUCUCUUUGUUUGCAUACGAACGUGGCUUCCUUCAUCUUGGGAGUAAUCUUGUGUUUUAAUGAUAGUGUCUACGACACACUGCAGCCUUAUUGUCUGCUUCCUUGGCUAUUUUUCGUCUGCACACCAUAAAUCAUAGGAUCCCAUGCAUUUGUGAUCUUGUAUGCUGAUGAUGGGUCUUAUAUGCCUAAUACAUGCUAACGAUGGCUCUUAAGAUUUAAUAUUUUUUAUUAUUUUUAAUUAUUUAUAUUAUUUUUAUUUAUUUAUUUAAUUUUUUUUUCAGUUUUCAAUCAUAUACAAAUCAAAUUAUAUUCUAUCAAUUAUUCGGGUAUAUAUAUAUAUAUAUAUAUAUAUAUAUAUAUAUAUAUAUAUCCAAAAAGAGUCUAGAUAC